Molecule: small RNA, 18 nt
Filed under: Arabidopsis thaliana (thale cress)
Lineage: Eukaryota; Viridiplantae; Streptophyta; Magnoliopsida; Brassicales; Brassicaceae
Description: ATSL001250
Source: RNAcentral
UUUCUUCUUCCUCUUUGU